Molecule: ribosomal RNA, 259 nt
Filed under: uncultured bacterium
Lineage: Bacteria
Description: partial 16S ribosomal RNA
Rfam family: Bacterial small subunit ribosomal RNA
Source: RNAcentral
UACGUAGGGUGCGAGCGUAAUCGGAAUUACUGGGCGUAAAGCGUGCGCAGGCGGUCUGUUAAGACCGAUGUGAAAUCCCCGGGCUUAACCUGGGAACUGCAUUGGUGACUGGCAGGCUUUGAGUGUGGCAGAGGGAGGUAGAAUUCCACGUGUAGCAGUGAAAUGCGUAGAUAUUCAUUUGGAACGCUAACGGCGAAAAGCAGGCAGCUGGGGGAUGCACCGACGCUGAGACACGGAAGCCAGGGGGAGCGAAACGGGG